Molecule: ribosomal RNA, 360 nt
Filed under: uncultured bacterium
Lineage: Bacteria
Description: bacterial SSU rRNA
Rfam family: Bacterial small subunit ribosomal RNA
Source: RNAcentral
GGCAUUUGUAUUAAACGCUCCGGCGCCAUAGGAUGGACCCGCGUCCCAUUAGCUAGUUGGUGAGAUAACAGCUCACCAAGGCCACGAUGGGUAACCGGUCUGAGAGGGCGAACGGUCACACUGGAACUGAGACACGGUCCAGACUCCUACGGGAGGCAGCAGUGGGGAAUAUUGCGCAAUGGGGGCAACCCUGACGCAGCAAUACCGCGUGAGUGAAGAAGGUUUUCGGAUCGUAAAGCUCUGUUAUUGGGGAAGAAAAAAAGACGGUACCCAAGAAGAAAGUUCCGGCUAACUACGUGCCAGCAGCCGCGGUAAUACGUAGGGAACAAGCGUUGUCCGGAUUUACUGGGCGUAAAGGGC